UUUUAAAACCAUAAAGAUAGAGCUUAGAUCGGGCCCAAAAAAUCAAGCCCGACCCUACCCGAGCCCGUGCACAUUGUGCCCGAGCCCGACCCGGCCCGACACGUUAACUGUAAUUAUGAGCCCGAGCCCGAUUUAAACCCGACAUUUUUUAAAUACGUGGGCCAUUAUAACUGACGUUCACAACUACAAUUCCGAGCUGUUUGAGCUACAGAAAUCCGUUUAGAGGACAUUGAGAGGACAAAAGAGGACAUUGAAGGCUGGCUAUCAUUAUUUCUGCCAUGGCAAGCCUGCUUCAUGUUCAUCUUAAAGUAUUUUUGCU
Molecule: long non-coding RNA, 319 nt
Organism: Alosa sapidissima (American shad)
Lineage: Eukaryota; Metazoa; Chordata; Actinopteri; Clupeiformes; Clupeidae
Exons: 3
Source: RefSeq, a predicted model, not a curated record